UGAGUGAGUGAGCGAGUGGGAGAGAAGGAGCAGAGUUUUUGUUAAUGUUGUGUGUGGACGUAGCGACCGGAGAAACCCAUGUGCUGUAACCGUGUUACUCAGUGUUCAAUAAAUCUUCAAAGAAAGCAUACAGCGGGCGUUUUAUUCACUAACCGGCAGGAGGAAGGAAAGUGAAGGGUAUAAACCCCAAGUAUUAGCAACAGGCAAUACUUGGCCCUGGAGCAGAGAACGAAGUCUCCAACUACGGUCAGAGACGGACAGGCAGGAAAGGUUAACAACGUGAUCAGCAGCGAACGAACCGAGCACCGAUACGUUUGCGUCGCCUUGCACUGGUUCAUACUUCGACACAAGCUUCGAAGCAGGAGGGUCGGAGGUAACAACAAUAUCUGUCUGACUACCCGUGUACCGAACCCCUGCCUGAAGUAAGGCAAGUGAUUGAUUCCAGGAGCAGCAGUCCCCAGACUGGGGCGUCAGUGGCUGCACCUGGAUUCCUUCCCUCGCAACACAUAAAGGAAAAGGGGAAGCACCUUGGGAGUGCGUAGGCAAGCUGCCCAUGGGUCUACACCACCCGUAGUCAUCCUCCUGUCUAGAAACACUAGGCAAGACCUGGGCGGACCACCCCCUGUAUUUGGUUAGUGAGCCUUGCUAGUGCUCAAGCUAGGUUAGGGGGGGGUGUUUCAGGUCAGAUAGGCAAGAGGGACUGUUUUGUUCAUUGUUUUGGUUCCGCCCAGCCCCUUUUCCCAAGCAACCCGUAUAUAUAUAUAUAUUAAUAAACAUUCCUUUUU
Gasterosteus aculeatus aculeatus (three-spined stickleback) is the source of this 785-nucleotide long non-coding RNA. The record is from Ensembl. NCBI's taxonomy places the organism in Eukaryota, Metazoa, Chordata, Actinopteri, Perciformes, Gasterosteidae.